UACGGAGGGUGCUAGCGUUGUUCGGAAUUACUGGGCGUAAAGCGCGCGUAGGCGGCUUUGUAAGUUAGAGGUGAAAGCCCGGGGCUCAACCCCGGAAUUGCCUUUAAGACUGCAUCGCUUGAAUCCGGGAGAGGUGAGUGGAAUUCCGAGUGUAGAGGUGAAAUUCGUAGAUAUUCGGAAGAACACCAGUGGCGAAGGCGGCUCACUGGACUGGUAUUGACGCUGAGGUACGAAAGCGUGGGGAGCAAACAGG
This 253-nucleotide ribosomal RNA is filed under the name uncultured bacterium. Its description in RNAcentral is "partial 16S ribosomal RNA". It matches the Rfam family "Bacterial small subunit ribosomal RNA", at positions 524 to 776 of the family's 1533-position model. The record is from RNAcentral.